RNAcentral lists this ribosomal RNA (371 nucleotides) under uncultured bacterium. RNAcentral describes it as "bacterial SSU rRNA". It matches the Rfam family "Bacterial small subunit ribosomal RNA", at positions 527 to 896 of the family's 1533-position model. The record is from RNAcentral.
GUACGGAGCAAGCGUUGUCCGGAAUCAUUGGGCGUAAAGCGCGCGUAGGUGGCUCCGUAAGUCCGUUGUGAAAGUCAAAGGCUCAACCUUUGAAAGCCGAUGGAUACUGUGGAGCUAGAGUACGGAAGAGGCGAGUGGAAUUCCUGGUGUAGCGGUGGAAUGCGCAGAUAUCAGGGGGAACACCAAUAGCGAAGGCAGCUCGCUGGGACGUUACUGACACUGAGGCGCGAAAGCGUGGGGAGCGAACAGGAUUAGAUACCCUGGUAGUCCACGCCGUAAACGAUGGGUACUASGUGUGGGAGGUGUCGACUCCUCCCGUGCCGUCGCUAACGCACUAAGUACCCCGCCUGGGGAGUACGGCCGCGAGGCUA